Molecule: long non-coding RNA, 551 nt
Organism: Mizuhopecten yessoensis (Yesso scallop)
Lineage: Eukaryota; Metazoa; Mollusca; Bivalvia; Pectinida; Pectinidae
Exons: 4
Source: RefSeq, a predicted model, not a curated record
UAGAGAAAUUAUGACGAUGUCUACAAAGUGUACGCAGAGGAGCAACGAGAAAAGACGAAGAAUAUUCAGGUACUGCGUCAACCCGAAGGGUGGCUGGAAAUCAAUAGACAGAGGACGAAAGAGGAGAGAAAGGAGAAGAAGAAGAGGUACCAGGAGCGACUCAGCAUCCAACAUACAGGUAUAUACUGUGUUGAGUGCCGGCGUUCGGAGAAACAGACCAAUGGAAACCUCUGUCUAAUAUGUGACGCUAAGAGACGACGGCGUGAACUGGAUAAGCGUGAAAAGACAGAUAAGGUGUUCCUGUUCGACGAUAUGACCCCGAGAAGGAAGAAGAAACGCCAGAUCGAUGCCUUAGAGAUCGUCCCUGAAAACACUGUAGCAACUGCAGAGCCAGUGAAAGAGAAGGAGACGGAAGCAGAAGAACCUCUCGCGAGCUAGACAGACAACGCUUACAAUAUAAUGAACUGUAAUGACAAACACCAGAACGUCGGAAUCAUUUUCCAACUUUGUGAUAAACGUCAUUGGUUCGGUGGUACUCAUUGAUGUAUUCA